Onychostoma macrolepis is the source of this 570-nucleotide long non-coding RNA. RefSeq lists it as uncharacterized. The record is from RefSeq and is a predicted model, not a curated record. Lineage: Eukaryota; Metazoa; Chordata; Actinopteri; Cypriniformes; Cyprinidae. The transcript is spliced from 4 exons.
GCUCGGGUCACUCCAGCGUCAAAUCUGCAUCUGCUAACUAUUACUAACACCCACUCUUCAUCAUCAUCAUCAUCAGUGUGCUGACUCACGGUGCACAUGUGCUCAAGAGACACAGAACACAUGUUAAGCAGUAUAGAACUCUUUUGUCAUGAAUCUCAGCACCAAAUUCAGUGUGUAGUCUCCCAAAGAACCCAGCUAACCUUCUGCAAUGUUCUCUCACAGCUACGAACACACGUUCUUCAGUAACAUUAAUAGAAUGUUCAUGUUCAGGUUUGGAGCAACUUGAGGAGUGAACUGCAGGACUUUGUUCUGAUCAUCCGACUCGAACCGGAUCAAGUCCUUCGUUGUCUCUGAUGAACAUCUAAACACUGAUGAAGAUCACACAGUCUGUGGCUGAUUCUCCUCAUGUUUGCUUCAGCUGUGUUUCUGAAGUGAUAUAUCUGAUGGAGCUCUCACAGCCGUCCGACUCUCUGCUCCAGCAGCUCCAGCUGUGUCUCCAUCUCUUUGGGCAGGUCUUCGUUCACCUCUCGCUGGAAGUACGCUCUGAUGUCCUCCACCUCCUGCCUCCAG